Molecule: ribosomal RNA, 225 nt
Filed under: Salmonella enterica subsp. enterica serovar Chester
Lineage: Bacteria; Pseudomonadati; Pseudomonadota; Gammaproteobacteria; Enterobacterales; Enterobacteriaceae
Description: partial 23S ribosomal RNA
Rfam family: Bacterial large subunit ribosomal RNA
Source: RNAcentral
CUGCCGCCAGCAUCCUCCAAGGCUAAAUACUCCUGACUGACCGAUAGUGAACCAGUACCGUGAGGGAAAGGCGAAAAGAACCCCGGCGAGGGGAGUGAAAAAGAACCUGAAACCGUGUACGUACAAGCAGUGGGAGCCCCACCACUAAGCCAGUGGUGAACUCCACAUACGCAUCCUUUGCUGAGGAUACGGUUAACGGAGCGAAAGCGACGUUCAACCGCAAAA